RNAcentral lists this ribosomal RNA (468 nucleotides) under uncultured bacterium. RNAcentral describes it as "partial 16S ribosomal RNA". It matches the Rfam family "Bacterial small subunit ribosomal RNA", at positions 28 to 507 of the family's 1533-position model. The record is from RNAcentral.
GACGAACGCUGGCGGCGUGCUUAACACAUGCAAGUCGAACGGAAAGGCCCUGCUUUUGUGGGGUGCUCGAGUGGCGAACGGGUGAGUAACACGUGAGUAACCUGCCCUUGACUUUGGGAUAACUUCAGGAAACUUGGGCUAAUACCGGAUAGGAGCUCCUGCUGCAUGGUGGGGGUUGGAAAGUUUCGGCGGUUGGGGAUGGACGCGCGGCUUAUCAGCUUGUUGGUGGGGUAGUGGCUUACCAAGGCUUUGACGGGUAGCCGGCCUGAGAGGGUGACCGGCCACAUUGGGACUGAGAUACGGCCCAGACUCCUACGGGAGGCAGCAGUGGGGAAUAUUGCACAAUGGGCGGAAGCCUGAUGCAGCAACGCCGCGUGCGGGAUGACGGCCUUCGGGUUGUAAACCGCUUUCGCCUGUGACGAAGCGUGAGUGACGGUAAUGGGUAAAGAAGCACCGGCUAACUACGUG